Molecule: long non-coding RNA, 2105 nt
Filed under: Triticum aestivum (bread wheat)
Lineage: Eukaryota; Viridiplantae; Streptophyta; Magnoliopsida; Poales; Poaceae
Description: long non-coding RNA (TAES_LNC026107)
Source: RNAcentral
GGAUGUUGAUUGCUGAAGUAGAUUACUUUAACAGUAUUGCAAGUUGUUUUUACCUACAUGUGACAUCUGAACUAGCAGUUUUGUCUAGUACAAUCUCUCUUUUAAAGCUUUGAAUGAUGCUUCGAAUCCUGAAAGGUGGGUUAUUAUGCUUUGUUUGGCUAUUAAGCCAUACCUACAGGACCAAAUAUAUACACAUGGUAUAGUUAUCCCUGCAGGAUCAUGCUUGUGUGGCAAUAAUACAUUCUAAGGCAAACAAAAACAUGAGAUUAUAUUGAUAUUAUAUUAUAUAUGUACAUCUAUUGUCGCUGUACUGGUAUUCCUAUAUCUUUCCAUCUGUACAAAAAACAAAAGCACCAAAUAUAUGCUUACCUCCGCUAUGUCAGGGGCACUUAGACAAGAAAGGAUAUGGUUUCAGAUAUGAGUUAGAAAAAAUUUCAAGCCAUCAUCAAGCAAUGGAGGAAGCUAUAGAUCCUGGAGCAUCGAACAUAUAAAUCACGCUAGGCAACCCGCCAUUUUGGAGGCAUUGUCAUGACGCAGCAGUAUGGGUCGCUCGAUUCUUUUAUGACUGUACUUUUUUGGUUGCUGGCAGUCGGUACACCGUUAAUUGUUUCUCCACCUGAGUUGUACACUACCUUUUUAUUUUUAUUUAGAUUCUUUCGGAUUUCCAGUUUAUUAGCUGCAAAAGGGGUCCAGUAAUCUACAUUCUACAUAAAGCUUAGGCUUUAAUUGAUUGUUAUGUCAAGUGAGAUCAUGCAUGAUAAGGAUUAUUGCUGUUGGAGGAAACAUUGUGUACAAUAUGUUUGGUGGUAGUUAAAAGGAGGGGAACAUAUUAUUGUGAUUUUAUAGUUUCUUGGAAGUAGUUUCAUCUAUUUGUUUACAACAUUGUUGGUUUGCUGCCUUUUAGUAUUGGAGUGUGUAAUCACACACGUUCUUAUACCUUCUAGGUUAUUUCUCGUUUUAACUCCUCUCCUGUGGAUUCUCCUAAGUUGCAGGCGAAGAUGAACUCCUGAUGGUCUACGCCGUCCUGCUUUGCCAUGGAGGUAAAUGAGCCGAAGUGUACCAGGGAAUAUGCAUAUACACCACACCUAAUCCACCACUAUUUUCUUGUGGCGACUGGCGAGGAGAAGAUACAAAUGCCUUCCAAUCCACCACUUAUCCCCACUACUAUUUCUUUGCCAGUGACCUGGGUUUCCAUGUACUUGAUAGAUACUUUCCUUAUGAUAUGUGUUUUAUGUAUGUAUAUAUGUUUCUGGCCAUAAAUAUAUAGCUAGCACCAACUUUUACUGCUUUCCGUGGAACUUUGACGAGUACCCUUUAAUCCACUAAUUUUGGACCUGUUAGUUUGGGCACUGAAAACUUUGAAAAGUACCUUUGAAUUAGAGGACUAAACUAACAGGUCCGAAAUCCUGAAGCCCAAAUGAAUCAGUUUUCAGUCUAAAUGAAUGGUGUUAUAGGAGAAGCUAAUCUGAAUGUAUGCACGGGAUUACUUCACUUGACGUACAUUAUCUGGAUCCUUGGCCACUUUUAUGCAAAAGCCUUCGAUCUCUUACUCCACUAUAGAGUUUGAUUGAGAAGUUUGGGCCUUUGGUCUUCUCUGUUACCUGAAACUUUAAAUCUGACUACAAAGCCUCAAAAGUCAAAACUCAAUUCAUGUAAAAAUCGGCAAGAGUUUAGGGGAUUUGGCUCCACAUUUUUUGAUCUUGUUAGUACUUUCACCUUGCUAAUUCAAAAUGUGUGAAUGUAGAGUUGGAGAAACUACCACAAGUCAAGGUGAGACCCAUGCCUGAAAAGGGGAAAUCACUCUGGAGUCGGCUCAAGAACAAGGCUAGACCCCAAUCUUGUUUACUCACUGUAUUCACUAUCUAUAAAGUUGUAUGCUUAUUUUCUUGGCAAAUAAGUGUUGGAAUAUUGGCUUCUCAUACCUAUGUACAGUAACUUAAGUAUAUCCCCAGGAGACUAUAUGAUCAGCAAUCAUACAAAGUAAUCAAAAUGAUGUGUUUUCUUUCAAAUAGAUAGACAAAAGGUGGACCGAGGGCUUCUGGCUAUUGCUGGAAGUUGAUUGGAGGUCUUCACGUGCAGAAAUGCUAGUUUUGUAGAUUAGGCAA